AGGAUUCCCCUAGUAACGGCGAGUGAAGAGGGAAAAGCCCAGCACCGAAGCCUGCGGCAGUUUUGCUGUUAGGCAAUGUGGUGUUUGGGUCGGCUCGUGGGAUUGCCACUCCACUCGAAGUCCAGCAUUGAGUAUGGUCACUGGAUUUGGCCCAGAGAGGGUGAAAGGCCCGUACGGGUGGAGGUUCAGAAAUGUAAGGCAGUUCACCAGGCCGGCCUUAGAGUCGGGUUGUUUGAGAAUGCAGCCCAAAGUGGGUGGUAAACUCCAUCCAAGGCUAAAUACUAGCACGAGUCCGAUAGCGAACAAGUACCGUGAGGGAAAGUUGAAAAGUACUCUGAAGAGAGAGUAAACAGUACGUGAAACCGCAUGCAGGUAAACGGGUGGCGUCAAGCUGCAAGCCCAGAGGAUUCAGCCGGUUAGGGUGUUGUGUAUGCGCCUGGCGCAUCUAUCAGUCAGAGUAGUUGGGUAGUCCACUGGUAAACGGUGGGCCCGGCCGCAAGGUUGGGAUGUGUGUACCGGGUGGAUGCCGGAGCACGCUACCUAUCUAUGGACUGUCUAGCCGGUGCACUUUCUCUGUGGCUGACACCACGACCGGUGGCAUUGCCAGUCUGCUGUGUCCAAGUCGUAUUCGGUAGGUCCUCGUGGCCAACUGGGUGCGAUCACAGGCAAACUCAGUAUACGGCGUAAGGGUGCUUCGGUAUCUUUGCGUGUUAUCGGCUACUGGUUGUCAACGGGUUGCCUAGUGCUUGUUGUAACCGGCACUUGGGUGAUCUGGUGGGACAUGGUGGUAAGAAUAACUGUGCAAGGCACUGGAGUUAUCGGCCUCAAAUGCAUCCCAUGCCCAUGUUACAAGUGGUAAUGGCGGUGCCGUUGCUGUCUGCUCGGUGUUGGGUCUGAUUGUCGUGUCGCCUGCGCAAAGUGGGCCCGGCAGUGGCUCGGCUCGAGAUGGGCAGUGGAUGGUGUCGUUUGUAUGGGAUGUGGUGGGCCAAAUAGUCAGUGGUGUAGUGGUAGACGAGCUACCCGACCCGUCUUGAAACACGGACCAAGGAGUUUAACAUGUAUGCGAGUCAAUGGGCGUUACGAAACCCAAAGGCGCAGUGAAAGUAAAGCUCCGACUUGUCUCGGGGUGAGGUGAGAUCCUGUCGUUACUCGCAUCAGCCUAAUGCCAGCAUCAGGCUAAGAGCGGCGGGCGCAUCACCGGCCCGUCCCAUGAUGUGGUCAUUGGAUUUCUGCGGUCGUUGCUUCGGUGGCGGUCGUGGUGCCAGUGCGUCAUCGGGGCGGAGCAUGAGCAUACACGUUGAGAC
RNAcentral lists this ribosomal RNA (1304 nucleotides) under Acanthobothrium rodmani. RNAcentral's name for it is "eukaryotic LSU rRNA". It matches the Rfam family "Eukaryotic large subunit ribosomal RNA", at positions 71 to 815 of the family's 3401-position model. Lineage: Eukaryota; Metazoa; Platyhelminthes; Cestoda; Tetraphyllidea; Onchobothriidae. The record is from RNAcentral.